ACGCGAAGAACCUUACCAAGGCUUGACAUAUACAGGAAUAUGGCAGAGAUGUCAUAGCCGCAAGGUCUGUAUACAGGUGGUGCAUGGUUGUCGUCAGCUCGUGUCGUGAGAUGUUGGGUUAAGUCCCGCAACGAGCGCAACCCUCGUUCUGUGUUGCCAGCAUUUAGUUGGGGACUCACAGGAGACUGCCGGGGUUAACUCGGAGGAAGGUGGGGAUGACGUCAAAUCAUCAUGCCCCUUAUGUCUUGGGCUGCACGCAUGCUACAAUGGCUGGUACAAACGGCUGCGAUACCGCAAGGUGGAGCGAAUCCGAUAAAGCCAGUCUCAGUUCGGAUUGGGGUCUGCAACUCGACCCCAUGAAGUCGGAGUUGCUAGUAAUCGUAGAUCAGCAACGCUACGGUGAAUACGUUCCCGGGGCUUGUACACACCGCCCGUCACAUCACGAAAGUCGGUAACACCCAAAGUCAGUGCC
RNAcentral lists this ribosomal RNA (472 nucleotides) under uncultured Actinomycetes bacterium. RNAcentral's name for it is "bacterial SSU rRNA". It matches the Rfam family "Bacterial small subunit ribosomal RNA", at positions 959 to 1434 of the family's 1533-position model. The record is from RNAcentral. Lineage: Bacteria; Bacillati; Actinomycetota; Actinomycetes.